GAUGAACGCUGGCGGCGUGCCUAACACAUGCAAGUCGAACGAGAUGCGUAUUGGAAAGCUUCGGCCGGAAGAUACGUUAUCUAGUGGCGGACGGGUGAGUAACACGUGGGUAACCUGCCUUAUGGAGGGGGAUAACAGAGAGAAAUCACUGCUAAUACCGCAUAAGCACACAGUACCGCAUGGUACAGGGUGAAAAGAUUUAUCGCCAUAAGAUGGACCCGCGUCUGAUUAGCCAGUUGGCAGGGUAAAAGCCUACCAAAGCAACGAUCAGUAGCCGAUCUGAGAGGAUGACCGGCCACAUUGGGACUGAGACACGGCCCAAACUCCUACGGGAGGCAGCAGUGGGGAAUAUUGCACAAUGGGGGAAACCCUGAUGCAGCGACGCCGCGUGAGUGAAGAAGUAUUUCGGUAUGUAAAGCUCUAUCAGCAGGGAAGAUA
RNAcentral lists this ribosomal RNA (438 nucleotides) under Oribacterium sinus. RNAcentral describes it as "bacterial SSU rRNA". It matches the Rfam family "Bacterial small subunit ribosomal RNA", at positions 28 to 450 of the family's 1533-position model. The record is from RNAcentral. Lineage: Bacteria; Bacillati; Bacillota; Clostridia; Lachnospirales; Lachnospiraceae.